ACUCCUACGGGAGGCAGCAGUGGGGAAUAUUGCACAAUGGGCGCAAGCCUGAUGCAGCCAUGCCGCGUGUAUGAAGAAGGCCUUCGGGUUGUAAAGUACUUUCAGCAGUGAGGAAGGUGGGUAUGUUAAUAGCAUACUCAUUUGACGUUAGCUGCAGAAGAAGCACCGGCUAACUCCGUGCCAGCAGCCGCGGUAAUACGGAGGGUGCGAGCGUUAAUCGGAAUUACUGGGCGUAAAGCGCAUGCAGGUGGUUUGUUAAGUCAGAUGUGAAAGCCCGGGGCUCAACCUCGGAAUUGCAUUUGAAACUGGCAAACUAGAGUACUGUAGAGGGGGGUAGAAUUUCAGGUGUAGCGGUGAAAUGCGUAGAGAUCUGAAGGAAUACCGGUGGCGAAGGCGGCCCCCCUGGACAGAUACUGACACUCAGAUGCGAAAAGCGUGGGGAGCAAACAGGAUUAGAUACCCUGGUAGGCUCU
Molecule: ribosomal RNA, 473 nt
Filed under: uncultured bacterium
Lineage: Bacteria
Description: bacterial SSU rRNA
Rfam family: Bacterial small subunit ribosomal RNA
Source: RNAcentral